GACAGAGGGUGCAAACGUUGCUCGGAAUUACUGGGCGUAAAGCGCGUGUAGGCUGACCGGAAAGUCGGGCGUGAAAGCCCUGGGCUCAACCCAGGAACUGCACUCGAAACUCCCGGUCUAGAGUGGUGGAGAGGGAAGUGGAAUUCCUGGUGUAGAGGUGAAAUUCGUAGAUAUCAGGAGGAACACCGGUGGCGAAGGCGGGUCUCUGGGCCGAUACUGACGCUGAGGAGCGAAAGCGUGGGGAGCGAACAGG
This 253-nucleotide ribosomal RNA is filed under the name uncultured bacterium. RNAcentral's name for it is "partial 16S ribosomal RNA". It matches the Rfam family "Bacterial small subunit ribosomal RNA", at positions 524 to 776 of the family's 1533-position model. The record is from RNAcentral.